This 459-nucleotide ribosomal RNA is filed under the name uncultured bacterium. RNAcentral describes it as "partial 16S ribosomal RNA". It matches the Rfam family "Bacterial small subunit ribosomal RNA", at positions 338 to 795 of the family's 1533-position model. The record is from RNAcentral.
CCUACGGGAGGCAGCAGUGAGGAAUAUUGGUCAAUGGCAGCGAGGCUGAACCAGCCAAGCCGCGUGAGGGAUGACGGUCCUAUGGGUUGUAAACCUCUUUUGUCAGGGAACAAAGGCCGCGACGUGUCGCGCAUUGCGUGUAUCCGAAGAAAAAGCAUCGGCUAACUCCGUGCCAGCAGCCGCGGUAAUACGGAGGAUGCGAGCGUUAUCCGGAUUUAUUGGGUUUAAAGGGUGCGCAGGCGGAACGUUAAGUCAGCGGUAAAAUUGCGGGGCUCAACCCCGUCGUGCCGUUGAAACUGGCGGUCUUGAGUGGGCGAGAAGUAUGCGGAAUGCGUGGUGUAGCGGUGAAAUGCAUAGAUAUCACGCAGAACUCCGAUUGCGAAGGCAGCGUACCGGCGCCCAACUGACGCUGAGGCACGAAAGCGUGGGUAUCGAACAGGAUUAGAUACCCCUGUAGUC